GCGGGCGUGGCGGAAAUGGCAGACGCGCAGGAUUUAGGAUCCUGUGGGUUAACCCGUGGGAGUUCAAAUCUCCCCGCCCGCACCA
Molecule: transfer RNA, 85 nt
Filed under: Bacillota bacterium
Lineage: Bacteria; Bacillati; Bacillota
Description: Firmicutes bacterium (anaerobic digester metagenome) tRNA-Leu
Rfam family: tRNA
About the family: Transfer RNA (tRNA) molecules are approximately 80 nucleotides in length. Their secondary structure includes four short double-helical elements and three loops (D, anti-codon, and T loops).
Source: RNAcentral